This 502-nucleotide ribosomal RNA is filed under the name uncultured bacterium. Its description in RNAcentral is "partial 16S ribosomal RNA". It matches the Rfam family "Bacterial small subunit ribosomal RNA", at positions 28 to 507 of the family's 1533-position model. The record is from RNAcentral.
GACGAACGCUGGCGGCGUGCUUAACACAUGCAAGUCGAACGGUGAAGGGGUCUGCUUUUGUGGGCCCUGGAUGAGUGGCGAACGGGUGAGUAACACGUGAGUAACCUGCCCCCUUCUUCUGGAUAACCGCAUGAAAGUGUGGCUAAUACGGGAUAUUCUGGGUCUGUCGCAUGAUGGGUCUGGGAAAGAUUGCGCCUUUGGGUGUUUUUGGUGGGGGAUGGGCUCGCGGCCUAUCAGCUUGUUGGUGGGGUGAUGGCCUACCAAGGCGGUGACGGGUAGCCGGCCUGAGAGGGUGGACGGUCACACUGGGACUGAGACACGGCCCAGACUCCUACGGGAGGCAGCAGUGGGGAAUAUUGCACAAUGGGCGCAAGCCUGAUGCAGCGACGCCGCGUGAGGGAUGGAGGCCUUCGGGUUGUAAACCUCUUUCGCCAGUGAAGCAGGCCUGCCCCUUGUGGGUGGGUUGACGGUAGCUGGAUAAGAAGCGCCGGCUAACUACGUG